RNAcentral lists this ribosomal RNA (406 nucleotides) under Amblyomma neumanni. Its description in RNAcentral is "partial 16S ribosomal RNA". The stretch from base 282 to 406 matches the Rfam family "Archaeal large subunit ribosomal RNA", at positions 2542 to 2667 of the family's 2987-position model. Lineage: Eukaryota; Metazoa; Arthropoda; Arachnida; Ixodida; Ixodidae. The record is from RNAcentral.
AGUAUUUUGACUAUACAAAGGUAUUGUAAUAAGACUUUAAUUGAGUGCUAAGAGAAUGGAAUUACAGAGAUUUACUUUUUUGAAUUUAAAAAUUAAAGUUAUUUUUAUUUGUGAAGAAACAAUAAUUAAAAUUAAGGACAAGAAGACCCUAAGAAUUUUUAAAAUUUAAUUUUAAAUAAAACUAAAGUGUUUUUUUAAUUGGGGAGAUUAAUAAAUAUUUUAACUUUAUUUAUACAAAAAUAUGAACCAGUAAUACUGGUUAUAUGAAAAAAUACUCUAGGGAUAACAGCGUAAUAAUUUUAGAUAGUUCAUAUAGACAAAAUAGUUUGCGACCUCGAUGUUGGAUUAGGAUUCUUUUUUAAUGAAGAAGUUAAAAAAAGAAGUUUGUUCAACUUUUAAAUUCCUA